CGGAACACGUACAGAACCUUCCUUUAAGCGGGGGAUAGCCCAUAGAAAUGUGGAUUAAUAGCCCAUAGUAUUGUUGAGUGGCAUCACUUAAUAAUUAAAGAUUUAUCACUUAAAGAUGGCUGUGCGGCUGAUUAGGUAGUUGGUAGGGGUAACGGCCCACCAAGCCAGCGAUCAGUAACUGGUGUGAGAGCACGACCAGUCACACGGGCACUGAGACACGGGCCCG
This 226-nucleotide ribosomal RNA is filed under the name uncultured bacterium. RNAcentral's name for it is "partial 16S ribosomal RNA". It matches the Rfam family "Bacterial small subunit ribosomal RNA", at positions 109 to 334 of the family's 1533-position model. The record is from RNAcentral.